Molecule: ribosomal RNA, 53 nt
Filed under: Vuilleminia comedens
Lineage: Eukaryota; Fungi; Basidiomycota; Agaricomycetes; Corticiales; Vuilleminiaceae
Description: partial 28S ribosomal RNA
Source: RNAcentral
UUCACUUUGAAUCUGACCUCAAAUCAGGUAGGACUACCCGCUGAACUUAGCAU